Molecule: ribosomal RNA, 270 nt
Filed under: Citrobacter koseri
Lineage: Bacteria; Pseudomonadati; Pseudomonadota; Gammaproteobacteria; Enterobacterales; Enterobacteriaceae
Description: partial 16S ribosomal RNA
Rfam family: Bacterial small subunit ribosomal RNA
Source: RNAcentral
UGCCAGUGAUAAACUGGAGGAAGGUGGGGAUGACGUCAAGUCAUCAUGGCCCUUACGACCAGGGCUACACACGUGCUACAAUGGCAUAUACAAAGAGAAGCGACCUCGCGAGAGCAAGCGGACCUCAUAAAGUAUGUCGUAGUCCGGAUUGGAGUCUGCAACUCGACUCCAUGAAGUCGGAAUCGCUAGUAAUCGUGGAUCAGAAUGCCACGGUGAAUACGUUCCCGGGCCUUGUACACACCGCCCGUCACACCAUGGGAGUGGGUUGCA